RNAcentral lists this ribosomal RNA (43 nucleotides) under Penicillium citrinum. Its description in RNAcentral is "partial 28S ribosomal RNA". Lineage: Eukaryota; Fungi; Ascomycota; Eurotiomycetes; Eurotiales; Aspergillaceae. The record is from RNAcentral.
UUGACCUCGGAUCAGGGUAGGGAUACCCGCUGAACUUAAGCAU